UUCUUAGUUCUUACUAGCUAUCUCAACAGCUACUUCUUCGUCCAAAGUUGCAGCAAAACCAUUGAUGUGCCUUGUGUACGAGUAAAAGAUGGAGUCUUUGGCUGUAUUAGAACUACAAAGAAGCAAGCUCAAAUCAAAGCAAGGUAAAAAAUUGUACCACUUGAGAUGUUAUAAAUUAUAAUUGCAUUUUUUGUUCAUACCUUCCUAAGAAAGAUCCCAGAAAGUCAUGGUGGGACUGUGUCACUUGAUUGAAGUCAACUGAGGAUAAUUCUGGGCCGUGUGAGUGGGCUCCCAAGUACACCACAUAUGACUACAAUUAAAAUGGUGCACUGCAGGGAUUAGACUAGACCACAAGGAUUAUUUAUCUUUUUCAAGGUUGCAAAUUGCAAUGCCUCACCUUUUUCACUGCAAAGCUGGGUCUGUGCAAUAGACAGACUAGAAGAAUUUGGAGCAGAAAGUGGAUGGAAGGAC
RNAcentral lists this long non-coding RNA (471 nucleotides) under Glycine max (soybean). RNAcentral describes it as "long non-coding RNA (GMAX_LNC001682)". The record is from RNAcentral. Lineage: Eukaryota; Viridiplantae; Streptophyta; Magnoliopsida; Fabales; Fabaceae.